Molecule: ribosomal RNA, 642 nt
Filed under: uncultured bacterium
Lineage: Bacteria
Description: bacterial SSU rRNA
Rfam family: Bacterial small subunit ribosomal RNA (bases 1-545)
Source: RNAcentral
CCUACGGGAGGCAGCAGUGGGGAAUAUUGGACAAUGGGCGCAAGCCUGAUCCAGCCAUACCGCGUGUGUGAAGAAGGCCUUUUGGUUGUAAAGCACUUUAAGCGAGGAGGAGGCUCUUGAGGUUAAUACCCUUGAUGAGUGGACGUUACUCGCAGAAUAAGCACCGGCUAACUCUGUGCCAGCAGCCGCGGUAAUACAGAGGGUGCGAGCGUUAAUCGGAAUUACUGGGCGUAAAGCGCGCGUAGGCGGCUUGUUAAGUCGGAUGUGAAAUCCCCGGGCUCAACCUGGGCACUGCAUUCGAUACUGGCAAGCUAGAGUAUGGGAGAGGAAGGUAGAAUUCCAGGUGUAGCGGUGAAAUGCGUAGAGAUCUGGAGGAAUACCGAUGGCGAAGGCAGCCUUCUGGCCUAAUACUGACGCUGAGGUGCGAAAGCAUGGGGAGCAAACAGGAUUAGAUACCCUGGUAGUCCAUGCCGUAAACGAUGUCAACUAGCCGUUGGGACCUUGAGUUCUUUAGUGGCGCAGCUACGCGAGUAAGUUAGACCGCCGUGGGAGGUACGGUCGCGACGACGUAAACCGUACGAAAGUAGAAGUUAGACGGCGUUGGAGGACGUUAGCCGACGGACGACGACGAGGGAGGUAGGG